UACAGAGGGUGCAAGCGUUAAUCGGAGUUACUGGGCGUAAAGGGCGCGUAGGUGGUUUAUUAUGAGUGAUGUGAAAGCCCCGAGCUUAACUUGGGAAGUGCAUCGCUAACUAAUGAACUAGAGUAUAUGAGAGGGUGGUGGAAUUUCCGGUGUAGCGGUGAAAUGCGUAGAGAUCGGAAGGAACGUCAAUGGCGAAGGCAGCCACCUGGCAUAAUACUGACACUGAAGCGCGAGAGCGUGGGGAGCGAACAGG
This 253-nucleotide ribosomal RNA is filed under the name uncultured Aquicella sp. RNAcentral's name for it is "partial 16S ribosomal RNA". It matches the Rfam family "Bacterial small subunit ribosomal RNA", at positions 524 to 776 of the family's 1533-position model. Lineage: Bacteria; Pseudomonadati; Pseudomonadota; Gammaproteobacteria; Legionellales; Coxiellaceae. The record is from RNAcentral.